AACGAACGCUGGCGGCAUGCCUAACACAUGCAAGUCGAACGAGAACUUCGGGUCUAGUGGCGCACGGGUGCGUAACGCGUGGGAACCUGCCCUUAGGUACGGAAUAACUCCCCGAAAGGGGUGCUAAUACCGGAUAAUUGCUUCUGACCAAAGAUUUAUCGCCCUCGGAUGGGCCCGCGUUGGAUUAGCUAUUUGGUAGGGUAAAAGCCUACAAAGGCGACGAUCCAUAGAUUGUCUGAGAGGCAGAUCAGCCACACUGAGACUGAGCCACGGCCCAGACUCUUACGGGAGGCAGCAGUGGCGAAUGUUGUACAGUGGGCGAAAGGCUGAUCCAGCAAGGCCGCGUGAGUUAUGUAGGCAUUUGGGUUGUAAAGCUAUUUUACCCGGGAUGAUAAUGACAGUACCGGGAGAAUAAGCCACGGCUAACUCCGUG
This 433-nucleotide ribosomal RNA is filed under the name uncultured bacterium. RNAcentral's name for it is "partial 16S ribosomal RNA". It matches the Rfam family "Bacterial small subunit ribosomal RNA", at positions 29 to 507 of the family's 1533-position model. The record is from RNAcentral.